UAUCCAUGGGGGUUUGAAGACUUAUUCAACAACCCUUGCAAAUUCACGAGGUGAUGCAACGUCUUAAUUACUUACUAAGAAGCUUGUACGACUUACCUUGAUCAAAAACAGGAUGACGCACCACCUUAAGGACGAUGGAAUCGCCUGCUUGCUGGAGAGAUGUGAUUGCCGCAGAGAGAGGUUUGCAGUGCAGACUUUGACCGUCGAUUGCUACCAGCUGAUCACCCACGUGCAGAGCCCUCGUUUGUUGUGCAACUCCAUCUGGAAGACAUUAUGAUGGAAAAGUAUGAACUUCAGAGCAUGACUAUGAGCAGGGAUGGCCAAUAUCCUGUAAACCUCGUCCAUAGUCAGCGUGCUGUCGAGAAGGUGGUCGUUAACCGCUACAAUGACGUCACCAACAAGAAUUGCACCGCUCCUCUUGGCGGGGGACCCCGCUCUAACCUCGACGAUCACUGGUCCCAGAUCACUCGCUGCAACAAUCAUUCAAUUACUAUUCCUGUCCAGUAAUGAAACAUUUUAAUUAAAAUACUAUAAACCGACCGCUAACAACCACCAACACUCGACAAAAAGUGACUUGAUUUAAGCAAAAUAUUUUUCAAUUUGCCGCCAAGAAGAAGUUCUGGAAUCAAUAGGUAAUAAUUAAGCUUGUAUCAAGAAGGAAGUUGCUUUCAUCGAGAAAAAAUCUGCUUAAUUCAAGCGAUUUCAUUUCUGAUUCAAGAGGAAAUCUUCAUAAGCAAUGCCAGUGUUUCUUAUUUUUUUCAGUCUAUGUGCGUAAUUAAUUAUUUGAUAUAUUAUCAGACAAUAAUAUAUUUCAUAAUUAUUUUUGCUUAUGCGAGCCUGCCAGUCAUGGAGCAGCAGUAGCUACACUUACGAAGGUUGACUGCAAUGACAAUAAGUUGAUUUGACGCAUACGCAACGAAAGUAACCAAAGCGCCUUCAUGUUCAAUGUAUGCAACUUUAACAACCGAAGAGCAGGAAUAGUUAAGUAGCGUCCGGGCGUUUUAUAAAUGAAGAGGGUCACUUACAUGCGAGUGAUAGUCCCAGAUCGUAAUCGGAGCGUUUGGUAAUCUGGACGGAAAAAGUUCCGAACGUUGACGCGGUACACUUUUCAACGUCGUAUUCUACGUCCAGUCGGACGGUUUCAUGAGGCCUAAAAUCACAGAGUUUCAUCGGGGUUUUGGAAUACGGCGGAUGAGCCCCGUUGAUCAGGAGUAUCCGGUCGCUACAUUUCAGUCUUUCGCUUCUGAAAUAACAGGAAAACAAUCAGCGAUGCGCAAAAUGAAACAUCCUUACCUAGGGAUGGACUCACAAUGACUUAGAGAAAGACACCAAAUGAAAAGAGAGAAAAAGAAAAGAAAGCUCAGCAAAAUCGUCAUUAAAUUGAUCUUUUAAGAAAUAUUUAGUGUCUUCUUAAAAGAGAGAGUAAACAAUAAAUAUUUUCUAUACAUCUUUAAAUUAGAGAAUAAUUAGGUACCCUCAAGCCAAAACGAGUUACUAGACUCCAUUUU
This 1508-nucleotide long non-coding RNA is filed under the name Bemisia tabaci. RNAcentral describes it as "lncRNA ENSSSA3NGG012040". The record is from RNAcentral. Lineage: Eukaryota; Metazoa; Arthropoda; Insecta; Hemiptera; Aleyrodidae.